CGGAGAGACUCCUCACGACCACUUGCACCGUGUGUCUUGAGGCCUGUACCAACCAAGGCCUGCACCGCGUCAGCUGUAUUCCCUGCGGGCAUUUCUUUGGCAGAUCAUGCCUAGAGAGGUGGCUGAUGACGCGUGGGACCUCUAGCGCUCUGUGCCCUAAUUGCAGAGAAAGUUUUCAGCGUAAGGACAUCAUCAAUCUACACAACUACAUACCAGAAGAAGUCUCACAAAGUUGACGAGUCCUUCGCAGAGCAAUGUGGGGGUAAUUCUGCUACUCAAAAACUUGCCUCUCACAGUCCUGAAGACACUGCCUAAAAGAUAAUUAGCAUGCCGAGGGCUAGGGUCUUCUGUCUUAGCUCCGUUAGUGUUCAUUCAAGCUGUCAUACACGCAUUACAAGAAGACGGGCGUUACUGGAAACUAACUGAUUUUUUGGGUAUGAAAUCUGAGCUAGGAGAACGUUUAACUGAAGAUUUCUACAUCACUGCUCCUGUGCUCCAACCAUUGUUGCUGCAAGCCAUGGUUGCUGGAUUAGGAGAUCCUAAUUCCUAGUACCGUCGACACUAACUAAUGUUCGAGAGAUCUGGUGGUUGAACUGUGGAAAUACAAGCUGGCGGUUACUGAAGACGCUACAGCCUGAAACUCUGCAGGCAAGGGAUGGCAACAUUUCAUAGGGAAUAGUCGAAUAGAGUUUGGUACAACAAUAUUUCACUUGGACCAGUCAUGAGUUGCGCAGCAACACAUCUUCCUCAUCUAGUCUUCUUUCUGCUUUUCUCCACCUGGAGCACAGCUUUUCAAAUGUCACGAUUUCCACAGUUGGUGCGACGUACACACUAGGAUUUUAUGUAAUCACGAAGUCUCAAGUGACAAGCUAACUAAAACGGGGAGGUUACACUCUUAACUUGAUUUCA
Long non-coding RNA from Lolium rigidum, 909 nucleotides. RefSeq lists it as uncharacterized. The record is from RefSeq and is a predicted model, not a curated record. Lineage: Eukaryota; Viridiplantae; Streptophyta; Magnoliopsida; Poales; Poaceae. The transcript has 3 exons.